CCUACGGGGGGCUGCAGUAGGGAAUAUUGGGCAAUGGAGGCAACUCUGACCCAGCCAUGCCGCGUGCAGGAUGAAGGCGUUAUGCGUUGUAAACUGCUUUUAUAUAGGAAGAAAUAGACCUUGCGAGGUAAGUUGACGGUACUAUAUGAAUAAGCACCGGCUAACUCCGUGCCAGCAGCCGCGGUAAUACGGAGGGUGCAAGCGUUGUCCGGAUUUAUUGGGUUUAAAGGGUGCGUAGGCGGUUUAUUAAGUCAGUGGUGAAAGACGGUCGCUCAACGAUUGCAGUGCCAUUGAUACUGGUAGACUUGAGUGGGAUUGAGGUAGCUGGAAUGGAUAGUGUAGCGGUGAAAUGCAUAGAUAUUAUCCAGAACACCAAUUGCGUAGGCAAGUUACUAAGUCUCAACUGACGCUGAGGCACGAAAGUGUGGGUAUCAAACAGGAUUAGAUACCCGAGUAGUC
Molecule: ribosomal RNA, 459 nt
Filed under: uncultured bacterium
Lineage: Bacteria
Description: bacterial SSU rRNA
Rfam family: Bacterial small subunit ribosomal RNA
Source: RNAcentral